This 168-nucleotide long non-coding RNA is filed under the name Mustela putorius furo (domestic ferret). RNAcentral's name for it is "lncRNA (ENSMPUG00000028221.1)". Lineage: Eukaryota; Metazoa; Chordata; Mammalia; Carnivora; Mustelidae. The record is from RNAcentral.
GCUUGGGGGAGGGGAGGUCAGCCAGGUUCUAGGCAGGAGUUCCUACUGACUUUGCUGUCCAGGACCAAGUUGUGUUAAUCACAGAAGCCCACGCACGUCCUUUCUAGUAUAUUUUUAAUCAUUCUUCUGAACUCUGGUUCUGACAUCUUACUUAACGUCCAUCCAUAC